RNAcentral lists this ribosomal RNA (468 nucleotides) under uncultured bacterium. Its description in RNAcentral is "partial 16S ribosomal RNA". It matches the Rfam family "Bacterial small subunit ribosomal RNA", at positions 28 to 507 of the family's 1533-position model. The record is from RNAcentral.
GACGAACGCUGGCGGCGUGCUUAACACAUGCAAGUCGAACGGAAAGGCCCUGCUUUUGUGGGGUGCUCGAGUGGCGAACGGGUGAGUAACACGUGAGUAACCUGCCCUUGACUUUGGGAUAACUUCAGGAAACUGGGGCUAUAACAGGAUAGAAGCUCUUGCUCCACGGGGGGGGUUGGAAAGUUUCGGCGGUUGGGGAUGGACUCGCGGCUUAUCAGCUUGUUGGGGGGGUAGUGGCUUACAAAGGUUUUGAAGGGUAGCCGGCAUUGGAGGGUGACCGGCCACAUUGGGACUGAGAUACGGCCCAGACUCCUACGGGAGGCAGCAGUGGGGAAUAUUGCACAAUGGGCGGAAGCCUGAUGCAGCAACGCCGCGUGCGGGAUGACGGCCUUCGGGUUGUAAACCGCUUUCGCCGGUGACGAAGCGUGAGUGACGGUAAUGGGUAAAGAAGCACCGGCUAACUACGUG